AUUGAACGCUGGCGGCAUGCUUUACACAUGCAAGUCGAACGGUAACAGGUUAAGCUGACGAGUGGCGAACGGGUGAGUAAUGCAUCGGAACGUGCCCGAUCGUGGGGGAUAACGCAGCGAAAGCUGCGCUAAUACCGCAUACGAUCUGAGGAUGAAAGCGGGGGACCGUAAGGCCUCGCGCGAUCGGAGCGGCCGAUGUCAGAUUAGUGAGGUGGUGGGGUAAAGGCCCACCAAGCCGACGAUCUGUAGCUGGUCUGAGAGGACGACCAGCCACACUGGGGCUGAGACACGGCCCAGACUCCUACGGGAGGCAGCAGUGGGGAAUUUUGGACAAUGGGCGAAAGCCUGAUCCAGCAAUGCCGCGUGCAGGAAGAAGGCCUUCGGGUUGUAAACUGCUUUUGUACGGAGCGAAAAGGUCCUUUCUAAUACAAGGGGCUCAUGACGGUACCGUAAGAAUAAGCACCGGCUAACUACGUGCCAGCCGCCGCCGUAA
RNAcentral lists this ribosomal RNA (493 nucleotides) under uncultured bacterium. RNAcentral's name for it is "partial 16S ribosomal RNA". It matches the Rfam family "Bacterial small subunit ribosomal RNA", at positions 29 to 523 of the family's 1533-position model. The record is from RNAcentral.